Molecule: long non-coding RNA, 309 nt
Organism: Oreochromis niloticus (Nile tilapia)
Lineage: Eukaryota; Metazoa; Chordata; Actinopteri; Cichliformes; Cichlidae
Exons: 3
Source: RefSeq, a predicted model, not a curated record
GCCAACUGAACAUAUACGAGAUUUUAAUGAGGAUGAAUAAUUAGCCGGCAUGGAGGAAACGGACCUUUAUUUGGUGGAGUGGCGACAAGAAGCCAAAAGACGGGUGGCCGGUCUAUGAAGCCUCCAUCAUCAAGCUAGCAGAAAUCCCACCUCUCCUUCUGGCUACAGAGCACUUACUUACCAAGCCCAUGAAAUCGAAUGCAGAUCUUCCUGAUGUGAGAUUUACAUAAAUGUAAGUAAUUUUGUUUGUCAUUGUCAUUAAUGUUGUUGCUGUUGUUGUUUUUGUGCAGUUUGCAAUCAUAUAAACCU